Molecule: ribosomal RNA, 253 nt
Filed under: uncultured bacterium
Lineage: Bacteria
Description: partial 16S ribosomal RNA
Rfam family: Bacterial small subunit ribosomal RNA
Source: RNAcentral
GACAGAGGGUGCAAACGUUGCUCGGAAUCACUGGGCGUAAAGGGCGUGUAGGCGGGCAGGUAAGUCGGGCGUGAAAUCCCUGAGCUCAACUCAGGAACUGCACUCGAAACUACUUUUCUUGAGUGCCGGAGAGGAAAGCGGAAUUCCUGGUGUAGAGGUGAAAUUCGUAGAUAUCAGGAGGAACACCAGUGGCGAAGGCGGCUUUCUGGACGGUAACUGACGCUGAGACGCGAAAGCGUGGGGAGCAAACAGG